This 439-nucleotide ribosomal RNA is filed under the name uncultured bacterium. RNAcentral describes it as "partial 16S ribosomal RNA". It matches the Rfam family "Bacterial small subunit ribosomal RNA", at positions 339 to 795 of the family's 1533-position model. The record is from RNAcentral.
CUACGGGUGGCAGCAGUGGGGAAUAUUGCACAAUGGAGGAAACUCUGAUGCAGCAACGCCGCGUGGAGGAUGACACAUUUCGGUGCGUAAACUCCUUUUAUAUAGGAAGAUAAUGACGGUACUAUAUGAAUAAGCGCCGGCUAACUCCGUGCCAGCAGCCGCGGUAAUACGGAGGGCGCAAGCGUUACUCGGAAUCACUGGGCGUAAAGAGCGUGUAGGCGGAUAGAUAAGUCAGGAGUGAAAUCCUAUGGCUCAACCAUAGAACUGCUCUUGAAACUGUCUAUCUAGAGUGUGGGAGAGGUAGAUGGAAUUUCUGGUGUAGGGGUAAAAUCCGUAGAGAUCAGAAGGAAUACCGAUUGCGAAGGCGAUCUACUGGAACAUAACUGACGCUGAGACGCGAAAGCGUGGGGAGCAAACAGGAUUAGAUACCCUCGUAGUC